GACGAACGCUGGCGGCGUGCUUAACACAUGCAAGUCGAACGGAAAGGCCCUGCUUUUGUGGGGUGCUCGAGUGGCGAACGGGUGAGUAACACGUGAGUAACCUGCCCUUGACUUUGGGAUAACUUCAGGAAACUGGGGCUAAUACCGGAUAGGAGCUCCUGCUGCAUGGCGUGGGUUGGAAAGUUUCGGCGGUUGGGGAUGGACUCGCGGCUUAUCAGCGUGUUGGUGGGGUAGUGGCUUACCAAGGCUUUGACGGGUAGCCGGCCUGAGAGGGUGACCGGCCACAUUGGGACUGAGAUACGGCCCAGACUCCUACGGGAGGCAGCAGUGGGGAAUAUUGCACAAUGGGCGGAAGCCUGAUGCAGCAACGCCGCGUGCGGGAUGACGGCCUUCGGGUUGUAAACCGCUUUCGCCUGUGACGAAGCGUGAGUGACGGUAAUGGGUAAAGAAGCACCGGCUAACUACGUG
This 468-nucleotide ribosomal RNA is filed under the name uncultured bacterium. RNAcentral describes it as "partial 16S ribosomal RNA". It matches the Rfam family "Bacterial small subunit ribosomal RNA", at positions 28 to 507 of the family's 1533-position model. The record is from RNAcentral.